UGCAAGUCGAACGAAGAGCGAUGGAAGCUUGCUUCUAUCAAUCUUAGUGGCGAACGGGUGAGUAACGCGUAAUCAACCUGCCCUUCAGAGGGGGACAACAGUUGGAAACGACUGCUAAUACCGCAUACGAUUCAAUCCCGGCAUCGGGACUGGAUGAAAGGUGGCCUCUAUUUAUAAGCUAUCACUGAAGGAGGGGAUUGCGUCUGAUUAGCUAGUUGGAGGGGUAACGGCCCACCAAGGCGAUGAUCAGUAGCCGGUCUGAGAGGAUGAACGGCCACAUUGGGACUGAGACACGGCCCAGACUUCUACGGGAGGCAGCAGUGGGGAAUCUUCCGCAAUGGACGAAAGUCUGACGGAGCAACGCCGCGUGAGUGAUGACGGCCUUCGGGUUGUAAAGCUCUGUUAAUCGGGACGAAUGGUUCUUGUGCGAAUAGUGCGAGGA
Molecule: ribosomal RNA, 442 nt
Filed under: Veillonella atypica
Lineage: Bacteria; Bacillati; Bacillota; Negativicutes; Veillonellales; Veillonellaceae
Description: bacterial SSU rRNA
Rfam family: Bacterial small subunit ribosomal RNA
Source: RNAcentral